UGGGAGGUGAUGAUUAUUUCCCAAAUGAUCGAAAUUUGAAUACAAGGCGAUUUUUCUCAAUAUAUUUUGGGAGUCCAAGCCAGAUUUCUGAUCUAU
Ricinus communis (castor bean) is the source of this 96-nucleotide small nucleolar RNA. RefSeq annotates it as small nucleolar RNA Z103. Lineage: Eukaryota; Viridiplantae; Streptophyta; Magnoliopsida; Malpighiales; Euphorbiaceae. The record is from RefSeq and is a predicted model, not a curated record. The transcript has a single exon.